AGGAUGAACGCUGGCGGCGUGCCUAAUACAUGCAAGUCGAGCGGGAGAAUCAUCCUCCGGGAUGAGGAUCCAGCGGCGAACGGGUGAGUAACACGUGGGCAACCUGCCCGCAAGACCGGGAUAACUCCGGGAAACCGGGCUAAUACCGGAUAGGCCCUUUCCCUGCAUGGGGGAAAAGGGAAGGCGGCUUCGGCUGUCACUUGCGGAUGGGCCCGCGGCGCAUUAGCUGGUUGGUGAGGUAACGGCUCACCAAGGCGACGAUGCGUAGCCGACCUGAGAGGGUGAUCGGCCACACUGGGACUGAGACACGGCCCAGACUCCUACGGGAGGCAGCAGUAGGGUAACUUUUCCGCAAUGGGCGAAAGCCUGACGGAGCAACGCCGCGUGA
This 388-nucleotide ribosomal RNA is filed under the name uncultured soil bacterium. Its description in RNAcentral is "bacterial SSU rRNA". It matches the Rfam family "Bacterial small subunit ribosomal RNA", at positions 26 to 404 of the family's 1533-position model. The record is from RNAcentral.